UACGUAGGGGGCAAGCGUUGUCCGGAUUUACUGGGCGUAAAGCGCGUGUAGGCGGGAUCGCAAGUCCGGUGUGAAAGCCCCCAGCUCAACUGGGGAAGGUCGCUGGAAACUGCGCUUCUUGAGGGCGGCAGAGGGAAGUGGAAUUGCUGGUGUAGCGGUGAAAUGCGUAGAGAUCAGCAGGAACACCCGUGGCGAAGGCGGCUUCCUGGGCCGCGCCUGACGCUGAGACGCGAAAGCGUGGGGAGCGAACGGG
This 253-nucleotide ribosomal RNA is filed under the name uncultured bacterium. RNAcentral describes it as "partial 16S ribosomal RNA". It matches the Rfam family "Bacterial small subunit ribosomal RNA", at positions 524 to 776 of the family's 1533-position model. The record is from RNAcentral.